Molecule: ribosomal RNA, 490 nt
Filed under: uncultured bacterium
Lineage: Bacteria
Description: partial 16S ribosomal RNA
Rfam family: Bacterial small subunit ribosomal RNA
Source: RNAcentral
AUUGAACGCUGGCGGCAGGCCUAACACAUGCAAGUCGAACGGUAACAGGAAGAAGCUUGCUUCUUUGCUGACGAGUGGCGGACGGGUGAGUAAUGUCUGGGAAACUGCCUGAUGGAGGGGGAUAACUACUGGAAACGGUAGCUAAUACCGCAUAACGUCGCAAGACCAAAGAGGGGGACCUUCGGGCCUCUUGCCAUCGGAUGUGCCCAGAUGGGAUUAGCUAGUAGGUGGGGUAACGGCUCACCUAGGCGACGAUCCCUAGCUGGUCUGAGAGGAUGACCAGCCACACUGGAACUGAGACACGGUCCCGACUCCUACGGGAGGCAGCAGUGGGGAAUAUUGCACAAUGGGCGCAAGCCUGAUGCAGCCAUGCCGCGUGUAUGAAGAAGGCCUUCGGGUUGUAAAGUACUUUCAGCGGGGAGGAAGGGAGUAAAGUUAAUACCUUUACUCAUUGACGUUACCCGCAGAAGAAGCACCGGCUAACUCCGUG